RNAcentral lists this transfer RNA (31 nucleotides) under Cantorchilus leucotis (buff-breasted wren). Its description in RNAcentral is "Thryothorus leucotis (buff-breasted wren) partial tRNA-Phe". The record is from RNAcentral. Lineage: Eukaryota; Metazoa; Chordata; Aves; Passeriformes; Certhiidae.
GUCCUCGUAGCUUACAACAAAGCAUGACACU